ACAGCAAAGGGGCGGCGAUCAGAGCACGCAGGGCAAGGGCUGGGUUUAGGGCUGGAGCUGGGGCGGGGGGGCGGGGGCCAGAACCAGAGAAGCACGGGGAGGGGUUGGUGGAAAUUGGGGAUCCUGCAGGAACCGAAUGGAAGUGGGAGGAGAAGGACGGUGGUAAAGGGGAAGGAGGCAGGAACCGAGCGGUCUAGAGCGAGAAGCGCGAGAUGGGUGGAUCUGGGGGGACCGGGACAGAGCGCAGCAGGAAUGGAGCGCGACGGGGCCACCAGGGGGCGAUAGAAGGCGGCGGAGCCUGGGGAGCAGGGCCGGGAGCCGCGCGGCUGGUGAGGAAUCCAGGCUCAGAGAAGGCAGUGACUCACAGAAGGCCACACAGCAAGUCUACCUAACAACCAGGAUGCCUCAGUUCCAGCUCUGGGCUUUUAACUCCUCAUGCCAAUGACCUCCACUGAAAGGUGAGCAGAACGUCAAAAAAGAUCCUGAGUUCUGGACUGUUUGUCAGGCAUUUUCUCCAGUGGGAACUGAGUCAACUCCAGAGGUUGUCCAGCUCGGCGCUACCCAACUGAACUCUCUCCAACGGUGGCAAUGCCCUCUAUGCGCUGGUCAGUACAGCAGCCAUAUGUGGCUACAGAGCAUCUGAUAACGUGGCGACUGUGACUGAAAAAUUACUUUUCUGAUUUCGGGUCAUUUCCAUUUAAACGGCCCUGGGUGGCCAGUAGCUGUCCUCCUGGGCAGGACAGAUCUGGAGGAAGUACUUGGCAUGGACAUUGGAAAGAAAAACAGCGAUAGCUCCUUUUCAUAGGUCUAAUAAUUAUGUACACGCUGACUUA
Nyctereutes procyonoides (raccoon dog) is the source of this 833-nucleotide long non-coding RNA. RefSeq lists it as uncharacterized. NCBI's taxonomy places the organism in Eukaryota, Metazoa, Chordata, Mammalia, Carnivora, Canidae. The transcript has 2 exons. The record is from RefSeq and is a predicted model, not a curated record.